Salarias fasciatus (jewelled blenny) is the source of this 190-nucleotide small nucleolar RNA. The record is from Ensembl. Lineage: Eukaryota; Metazoa; Chordata; Actinopteri; Blenniiformes; Blenniidae.
GACACGCUCCUUAGAUCCACCUCUGGAGGGCGCUGCGGCUGCAGCUCCUCACAGCUUCCUGCUGGACGGUCGGAGGUGCUUGAGUCAUUGGCGUGUGAGAGCAGUCCACCUGCCCCCCCGGCCCCCGCUGCAGCAGCACCCGGUCUGCAGGCCGGGACCCCCUGCUGCAGCCCGCCGGGGGGCGGACACC